Molecule: long non-coding RNA, 313 nt
Organism: Neogale vison (American mink)
Lineage: Eukaryota; Metazoa; Chordata; Mammalia; Carnivora; Mustelidae
Exons: 3
Source: RefSeq, a predicted model, not a curated record
CAGGAGUCCAGAGAAGGUCAACCUCCCAAGAACGGUCCCAGCACACCUUUUUGAGCCAGUGUCCCGAUGUAGGUGAAAAGGCGCCCUUGGGCCCAACAUCUACAGCAGAAAGAAGGAAGCCAUAUUGUACAGUUUGAAGUUACAUAUGGGCCAGGUCCUGGGUUAGAAGAACCCAUUUUCAAAAGAGCUGUGGAGGAGAAGGCAACAAGAGAUGACUUUCUCAAGAAUGCAGAACACAGACCCUCUGGACAGAGAUUUGAGUCUUUCCAGAUUACCAGUUGGCACACUGCACCCACUUGGUUUCAGUGUGGAU